RNAcentral lists this ribosomal RNA (202 nucleotides) under Foraminifera environmental sample. Its description in RNAcentral is "partial Bacterial large subunit ribosomal RNA". It matches the Rfam family "Bacterial large subunit ribosomal RNA", at positions 1287 to 1493 of the family's 2925-position model. The record is from RNAcentral. Lineage: Eukaryota; Foraminifera.
AGUGCGAAUGCUGACAUGAGUAACGAUAAUGCGGGUGAAAAACCCGCACGCCGGAAGACCAAGGUUUCCUGUCCCAUGCUAAUCAGGGCAGGGUAAGUCGGCCCCUAAGGCGAGGCAGAGAUGCGUAGCUGAUGGGAAACAGGUCAAUAUUCCUGUACCGAUCAAUAGUGCGAUGUGGGGACGGAGAAGGUUAGCUCAGCCA